This 500-nucleotide ribosomal RNA is filed under the name uncultured Glomeromycotina. RNAcentral's name for it is "partial small subunit ribosomal RNA". It matches the Rfam family "Eukaryotic small subunit ribosomal RNA", at positions 591 to 1092 of the family's 1831-position model. The record is from RNAcentral. Lineage: Eukaryota; Fungi; Glomeromycota.
CCAAUAGCGUAUAUUAAAGUUGUUGCAGUUAAAAAGCUCGUAGUUGAAUUUCGGGGUCAGUAGGCUGGUCGUGCCACAGGUAUGUACUGGUCUUACUGAUUCCUCCUUCCUGAUGGACCGUAAUGCCAUUAAUUUGGUGUUGCGGGGAAUCUGGACUGUUACUUUGAAAAAAUUAGAGUGUUUAAAGCAGGCUAACGCUUGAAUACAUUAGCAUGGAAUAAUGAAAUAGGACGAUCGAUCCUAUUUUGUUGGUUUCUAGGAUUGACGUAAUGAUUAAUAGGGAUAGUUGGGGGCAUUAGUAUUCAAUUGUCAGAGGUGAAAUUCUUGGAUUUAUUGAAGACUAACUACUGCGAAAGCAUUUGCCAAGGAUGUUUUCAUUAAUCAAGAACGAAAGUUAGGGGAUCGAAGACGAUCAGAUACCGUCGUAGUCUUAACCAUAAACUAUGCCGACUAGGGAUCGGAUGAUGUUAAUUUUUUAAUGACUCAUUCGGCGCCUUACG